Molecule: long non-coding RNA, 197 nt
Organism: Neltuma alba
Lineage: Eukaryota; Viridiplantae; Streptophyta; Magnoliopsida; Fabales; Fabaceae
Exons: 3
Source: RefSeq, a predicted model, not a curated record
CCGAGCCUCAGUUUAGUUCCGAGGACUAUAUGAUGUUAUAUACGACUAUCUACAAUAUGUGCACUCAAAAGCCUCCUCAUGAUUAUUCCCAGCAACUGUAUGACAAGUACAGGGAAUCGUUUGAAGAAUACAUUCUAUCAACGUUAUCUAUGGAGCUUCCCAUGCGUAUUGUAGCGACAUCAGCUCCUAAAUGGCAC